GGACAAUCUUGGCCUGUGUCGCCGGGUCUUCGCUAUGAAGCGCGGUCUCCCAUGCUUCUUCGUCCUUAAAUAAAUUAUAUCCCGAAUCUGCAGAAUUGGUCCUCCGGAUUUCCCGUUUGCGUGAGGUAUCUCCAUCUGGGAGACAUGUGGUUCUUGGCUUGCAGGCGGCGCCAGCAGGUGACUGCCUCUGCGGACGUGAGGGACCUAUCCGGGAGUGGAUAUUUCCGACGUCAAGGCGCCUCCUUGACUUAAGGUCGGAGAACUUACCAUCCCGGAGCGCCCCAGUAUCAAGAUAUUGGGGCUAGACUUUCAGAACACGCUGCGCUGUGGGCUCAUGUUAAAGAAACUCCAGAAGGCGACCAACUACACACUAAGCAUAUUCGCCGGGUGGCAAAUCGGUACCACGGCAUAGGCGAGGACGAGCUGCUUCGACUUGUGCAGGCAUACAUAACCAGCAGAACCAUGUACUCGACACCAUAUGUCAAACUCGCAGCCACGGACUUAGCCAAAUUAAACACAAUGAUCAGACGAAGCACAAAGGCAGCCCUCCAUGGGCCUUCCAGACCACGCGGCCUCCGCAAGGCUAGAGCAUGCAUAGUACAUGACGAUUCCGCGAAAGGUCAGGGGGCAUAUUUAUGCCCCACCUCUACCCCGCAACAUGGACCGCGAGUUCCAUCAGGGCCGUCGGCAGGCUCCUAUGCAGUGAAGCCAUUUGGCGACGCUACAGCUCGCAAGAUGGAGUGGUCUGCACAGACGCAGCGAGACACCCUCGCGGCGACCUCAUGACCGCGGUGGUAGCGGAUCACAACGGAGGAUUGAUAGAACACACAACAAUCACGGCUGGCCGAGUGGUGGAAGCGGAGGAAACUGCGAUUGCCAUGGCCAUGCAUGCGGAAGCGAAUACCGUCAUGAGCGAUAGCAAGCAGGCCAUCGGCAAUUUCGUCCGCGGUAGAAUUUUCAAACAGGCGUACCAUGUCCUCACACAGCGCCCCCUAAGCGGCUUGAAAACCCUCGUGUGGACCCCCGCUCACGCGGCUGUGCCCGGCUACGUGUCGGCUCACAGUUUGGCUCGAGAUCUCAUGCACCAAGCCUCAUCCGUGGAUGCGGACAGCGUGAAUGAAGAGGAUAGACACGAAGAACCCUGCGAGACUUAUCAUGAAAUAGCCCAUAGAUAGCGCAUGGCGCUCUUUGGCCAUACCUGGCCCUUGCGCCAUUAAACUUCAAACAUCAUCACCAAAGAUAGCGCUUGAGGCGUCGCGCGCUCCCACCUCCGGCCAAGCAACUCGAUAAAAUGCAAGUGGUCGCGUUUCCCACACAUAUAAUGUGGGAAUGCACCCCCCGUCAGCAGCGAGACUUACUGGACAGCCUGGCUCAGUUCCAGGGAUUUCGACUGACAGCUUGAACUGGUGGACUGGGCGGAGAAGGCCAAGCAGGCCCAGGGCCUUACUUGAGCCCGAUCCCUCAGCCACAUCCCCCUUUACCCUUCCCCCUUUCAAUAAAGUUUACCACCACCAUG
Molecule: long non-coding RNA, 1516 nt
Organism: Dermacentor andersoni
Lineage: Eukaryota; Metazoa; Arthropoda; Arachnida; Ixodida; Ixodidae
Source: RefSeq, a predicted model, not a curated record